GAUACAUAUUACAGUCCAAUAAUAAUAGGCCCAACCAUCUUAGCAAUCUGCUCAAUCCGUACGUUUCUUGAUCUUUGUUCACGUCGUUCUGGUUACUCUCCUAGAUUCUGAGAAUGUCGUCGACAACAAUCAGCGAGCACAUCAAACUCCGACGAGUUAGGCACCAAACAAUCCGCCACAUCGCUGCUGACGAAGAUCUGCCGCUGACACACGUCGUCCCUCCAAUCUUCCAGCCCAAUCGCUUCUGUAGUUAGAGACGUCAAUGGCAGCGGCGGCUGCGUUGCGGUUUCUGAUGUUUGGUGCAGUAAAGGAUUAGGGUUCACGACGGAUGCGGUGUCGAUGAUCCUCCGAGGAGGAAUCUUCCGCCGUCGCGUCGUAAAAUCGACGUGGACAAGAACAGUUCGAACCAAACAGAAUUAAAGCGAAUAGUUUGGGUUUAGGCAAAAACUGUUUGGAGUGGUUGGAGCUAUAGUUGUUGUAGCAUCCCUAUGUUGUUGCUGGGGACCAACAAACGUCAUGUCGAUCUGUGGCUUGAAUCGAUCGAUUCGGUGAUGCUGAUUAUCACCAGGAGACAAGCUUCUUCUCAGAGUUAGGGGAGCUCUGCUUGCUCUGAUUCAUGUCUCCUCCUCUGAUCCUUUGCCUCACCUUAGUAUCAAAAACACACCAAUCGAGACAUCAUCUGCGCAGUUUAUACGUCAACGGUACACUGCUGCUUCCAGUGGACAGAAGUUUCAAAACUCUAUAAUAAGCGCUUAUGGGGAAGCUCAAGAUGAUCACUAAACACAUGGAAGCUGAUAUUGAAGAGAAUCUGAUGUUCUAUCAGGCUUGCUAUUGAGUGGAUUUUUUCCAUGAUUUUUUUCCCAAGCCGGAAUUCCCCUACUCCAGAUUAUAUCUGACUUCAUAAGAAAAGUGGACUCGAUGCCACUGAAUAUGCCAGUGAGAUGCAAUUGAUUGCAGGGUAUUUGGUAGUCAGUAAUGUGAAUAUGCAUGAAGGUGCCCGCUGAGUUGUUAAUAUCUCAAUCCGUGCAAUUUUGCAAACCAAGUUUAACACCAAGGUCAACAAGUUUCUUUCUUUCUUUGUCGUUUGUAUAUUCUGAGUUUUACCUGUGAAGAGAUAUGAUCAGCUCAUCCUUUUUUCAUUGUACUAUAUUUGGUUGAUGAUUUGACGUUUCACAGGUGAAAAUUACGAAUUUGAAUGCGUUUUCAGCAAUUAACAGGAAACUUAACUAGGAGAUCCAGACAAUCACUUCUCUAUAACCAGGGCCAAGCCGACCAGAUCUUGGGAAGAAGAAACUCAGCCAUUUCUUCCAGAAGUAAUACUCGCCCAAGUAUAGCAUCCGAGCUUCUUUACUGGAGCUUCCUGAAGAAAAGGGCAGGACGUACGAGGCCAUGGGUGUAGGCACUUAACAUGUGUUCUUCCUCGCAAAUGAUGCCAAUGUAAGUCCCAUAUGCUCAAGAGUUUGGUUAGGAAACUACCAGUGAGAGCAAAAGAAAUAUAACUUUAAAUAAGGGUUGUGUGGAUAUAUAUAAUUAUGAUUCAUGUCAAGACGUGCAAAAUAUUUUUGGAAUCAAUGGCUUACAUCUAUUUUGCUGCAGUUAUUGGCAAGGGUGCUGAAUUAAAGUUCCCGACAAAUUUGCUAAUGAGUGAUAUCGUUGCUUUCUUUAACAAUGAGAACUUUUCAGUCAAUGGUGUUUACCUUGCUUCUAAAGAUUGAUAUCAUCUUUUUUGUUUUGGAUCAUUGCUAUUUUUUUUUUCCAGAUAUUAUUUGAGCUCUUGGUUAAAGGUGAAACUGCCCAAGGAAUGAUAAAAGCAAAAGACUUGGUUUAGGCAAAGUAUAUGCUAUUCAGAGAAAAGUUUACUCUGACCCAUUUUGAAGGUUCAUCGAGAAUAUACUUCAGGCUUACCCUACUUUAAUAGGUUUUUUUGUCUGUAUGUUUCUGAUAAUCGAUCAUGUCGAAAUAAAAAAAUGGUUAUAAAAGUGGACUCUCAAUCCCCAACCCAAG
Long non-coding RNA from Brassica oleracea var. oleracea, 2004 nucleotides. RefSeq lists it as uncharacterized. The record is from RefSeq and is a predicted model, not a curated record. The transcript is spliced from 6 exons. Lineage: Eukaryota; Viridiplantae; Streptophyta; Magnoliopsida; Brassicales; Brassicaceae.